RNAcentral lists this ribosomal RNA (504 nucleotides) under uncultured bacterium. Its description in RNAcentral is "partial 16S ribosomal RNA". It matches the Rfam family "Bacterial small subunit ribosomal RNA", at positions 30 to 523 of the family's 1533-position model. The record is from RNAcentral.
AUUGAACGCUGGCGGCAUGCCUUACACAUGCAAGUCGAACGGCAGCAUGGAGAGCUUGCUCUCUGAUGGCGAGUGGCGAACGGGUGAGUAAUGCAUCGGAACGUACCGUGUCAUGGGGGAUAACGUAGCGAAAGUUACGCUAAUACCGCAUACGACCUGAGGGUGAAAGCAGGGGAUCGCAAGACCUUGCGUUAUACGAGCGGCCUAUGUCAGAUUAGCUAGUUGGUGAGGGAAAGGCUCACAAAGGCGACGAUCUGUAGCGGGUCUGAGAGGAUGAUCCGCCACACUGGGACUGAGACACGGCCCAGACUCCUACGGGAGGCAGCAGGUGGGAAUUUUGGACAAUGGGGGCAACCCUGAGCCAGCCAUGCCGCGUGAGUGAAGAAGGCCUUCGGGUUGUAAAGCUCUUUCGGCGGGGAAGAAAUGGCAACGGCUAAUAUCCGUUGUUGAUGACGGUACCCGCAUAAGAAGCACCGGCUAACUACGUGCCAGCCGCCGCCGUAA